Molecule: non-coding RNA, 45 nt
Filed under: Schistosoma haematobium
Lineage: Eukaryota; Metazoa; Platyhelminthes; Trematoda; Strigeidida; Schistosomatidae
Source: RNAcentral
AUCCAACUGUCGAGUCCCAAAUAGGACGAGAUGUGCAUUCUGGAU